GGGGGUAGCAUUGCCUUGGGUAUCCGGCGUAUUUUCUUUCGCCGGAUUUAAUCGGGAAGCCGGUGCGUUGUUCCAGUUCAUGCAGUUCAUCGAUCUGGAAAUCAGUCCGGCGCUGCCCCCGCAACGGUAAGCGAAUCAGCGAAUCUGCAUCCAGCCACUGUGCCUGCGUGUUCUCAACACGGCAUGGGAAGGCGCAGCUUCCGGUUCCGGUCGGAUCAUUCUCGCCGCGAACCCUUCGCAAGCCCGGAGACCGGCCCUCGGCAAAGACUUGUU
This 273-nucleotide non-coding RNA is filed under the name Herbaspirillum sp. The record is from RNAcentral. Lineage: Bacteria; Pseudomonadati; Pseudomonadota; Betaproteobacteria; Burkholderiales; Oxalobacteraceae.